GAUGAACGCUAGCGAUAGGCCUAACACAUGCAAGUCGAGGGGCAUCACAUGAAGUAGCAAUACGGAUGGUGGCGACCGGCGCACGGGUGAGUAACACGUAUGCAACCUGCCUUCAACAAGGGGAUAACCCGUUGAAAGACGGACUAAUACCCCUAUAACACAGGGGUCCCGCAUGGGAAUAUUUGUUAAAGGACAACCGGUUGAAGAUGGGCAUGCGUUCCAUUAGCUAGUUGGCGGGGUAACGGCCCACCAAGGCAACGAUGGAUAGGGGAACUGAGAGGUUUAUCCCCCACACUGGUACUGAGACACGGACCAGACUCCUACGGGAGGCAGCAGUGAGGAAUAUUGGUCAAUGGACGCAAGUCUGAACCAGCCACGUCGCGUGAAGGAAGACGGCCCUACGGGUUGUAAACUUCUUUUAUACGGGAAUAAAGUGCCCCACGCGUGGGGUUUUGCAUGUACCGUAUGAAUAAGGAUCGGCUAACUCCGUG
RNAcentral lists this ribosomal RNA (491 nucleotides) under uncultured bacterium. RNAcentral describes it as "bacterial SSU rRNA". It matches the Rfam family "Bacterial small subunit ribosomal RNA", at positions 28 to 507 of the family's 1533-position model. The record is from RNAcentral.